CUAGCGGGCCUUUACAAAGGAAAUGGGCCCUCGGUGCACAUGAUAACACAGAGGAGUCUCUGACACAUGUUCCUGAUCCGAGGAAGCCCCACGUGAAGGAGCACGUCAGGAGCCCUUUGUAUUUGUAUUUGUAUCUCCUCUGCUACUUGACAGCUCCACCCUCAGUGGAGCUUGGGGAUCAGCAGCGUUGUCCCUAUCAGGCCCCCCCGCCCCGGGAAGGCCACAUCUGUGUCUCCACUUGUCGGCUGAAGGGCAUCUGGAUUGUUUCACUUUGAGGCUCCUACGAACCCACUAUGGACGACUUUGCGUGAACAUACGCGUUCAGAUUACUGGGUUUCCUUAACCGAGGAACAGAAUGUCCUCCUCUGUUUUGAAUGGUUUCUGUCUUCUGCUGAAGGCUGUCUAUAUACCACGUGUUUGCCUUUUCAAAACAAGGCCCCUCUAUGGAGACUUUUCUGUAUUCAAGACAAAAUUUAGAGACCUACGUGUGUUUCCCCACCCAUGAGUGUGCUAUCACUGCUUACAAAUGGGGCCCGGCCACUGAAUUGAGUUAUCAAGCGAGCAGAGUCCUGAGUCACGGAUCGCCCUUCGUCCACAGUGGGCCAGAGGCGGCACUGCGUGGGAGAUCGCAGCUGGGGGCUCGCGGGGACGCCUCCUCCUAAAGCACGA
Molecule: long non-coding RNA, 669 nt
Organism: Nyctereutes procyonoides (raccoon dog)
Lineage: Eukaryota; Metazoa; Chordata; Mammalia; Carnivora; Canidae
Exons: 4
Source: RefSeq, a predicted model, not a curated record